RNAcentral lists this transfer RNA (68 nucleotides) under Remiarctus bertholdii. Its description in RNAcentral is "tRNA-Ile". The record is from RNAcentral. Lineage: Eukaryota; Metazoa; Arthropoda; Malacostraca; Decapoda; Scyllaridae.
AAUAUGGUGCCUGACUAAAGGAUAGCACUGAUAAAGCUAAUCAUGUAGCGUUACUGCUACCCAUAUUA